This 292-nucleotide ribosomal RNA is filed under the name uncultured bacterium. RNAcentral describes it as "partial 16S ribosomal RNA". It matches the Rfam family "Bacterial small subunit ribosomal RNA", at positions 505 to 796 of the family's 1533-position model. The record is from RNAcentral.
GUGCCAGCCGCCGCGGUAAGACGUAGGGAGCAAGCGUUGCCCGGAAUUACUGGGCGUAAAGAGCUCGUAGGCGGGGGCGUGCGUCUGAAAGGAAAUCUCAAGGCUUAACUUUGGGGCUUUUUCAGAUACGGCGCUUCUUGAGGAUGUGAGAGGAAAGUGGAAUUUCCGGUGUAGCGGUGAAAUGCGUAGAUAUCGGAAGGAACACCAGUGGCGAAGGCGACUUUCUGGCACAUUCCUGACGCUGAGGAGCGAAAGCGUGGGUAGCGAACGGGAUUAGAUACCCGUGUAGUCC